UACAGAGGGUGCAAGCGUUAAUCGGAAUUACUGGGCGUAAAGCGUGCGUAGGUGGUUUGUUAAGUCAGGUGUGAAAUCCCGGGGCUCAACCCCGGAACUGCAUCUGAUACUGGCAGACUAGAGUGCGGUAGAGGAUGGUGGAAUUCCCGGUGUAGCGGUGAAAUGCGUAGAUAUCGGGAGGAACAUCAGUGGCGAAGGCGGCCAUCUGGACUGACACUGACACUGAGGCACGAAAGCGUGGGGAGCAAACAGG
This 253-nucleotide unclassified non-coding RNA is filed under the name uncultured Gammaproteobacteria bacterium. Its description in RNAcentral is "contains 16S-23S intergenic spacer region". It matches the Rfam family "Bacterial small subunit ribosomal RNA", at positions 524 to 776 of the family's 1533-position model. Lineage: Bacteria; Pseudomonadati; Pseudomonadota; Gammaproteobacteria. The record is from RNAcentral.